Molecule: RNA transcript, 3606 nt
Organism: Onychostoma macrolepis
Lineage: Eukaryota; Metazoa; Chordata; Actinopteri; Cypriniformes; Cyprinidae
Gene name: CD276 antigen-like
Exons: 7
Source: RefSeq, a predicted model, not a curated record
GUAGUAGAGAACUUAGCGCUGUUUGUUCUAAUAGAGACGAAGAUGCUUAUAUCUCCAGCUACCAGCGCUGGAUAAAGAGAGAGAGAGAGGGAGGGGUUGUGUGCGUAAGUGUAGGUAAUGCGUGACUUUCCUUUUUCAGAACCUAACAUUCAAACCUAAUGGAACAAUCUUCAGAUAACCUAAUUGCAUUAUUUCUCGCUUGUAAACGUUUUUUUUUUUUUUUUUUUUUUAUUCUUGGACGUUGUUACUGAAGAGGUGAUGGAACACGGCAACCGCAUCUGAGAAUAGACAUUCUUUUUGUAAACGGAGGACCUGAUCGAUGAAUUUGUUUUUCACACGCACUCAGUUCUCGCGUCAUGUUUAGCCUGUUGUUGGGUGUUUAUGAAGAAAUUAAGAAAAAUGAUUCACAGCGCAUUUUUCUUCUGUCUGUGUCUUUUGCUAUCGACUGGUGUGUUUGGUGAUACAGAUGUUAUAGUGUCAGUGAUGGAGGGAAAUUCUGUCGCUCUACACACUGAUGUUAAAAUGCAGCAAGAUGAUCACACACUGUGGAUGUUUGGACCUCAAGAGACUCGUAUAGCUGAGAUCCACAGACAGAACAUCUAUAUAGAUGCCACUAAUACAACAUUUGAGAAAAGACUCCAGAUGGACAGACAAACUGGAUCUCUGAUCAUCAGAAACAUCAGAACUGAACACUCUGGACUUUAUAAACUACAGAUCAUCAGCAACAGAGGAACUUCAUACAAGAGAUUCAAUGUUACUGUCUAUGCUCCUCUGCCUGUUCCUGUCAUCACCAGAGACUCUUCACAAUGUUCUUCAUCUGAAAUAUCAUCAGGUCAGAAUUGUUCACUGCUGUGUUCAGUGUUGAAUGUGGGUUAUGUGACUCUCUCCUGGUUCAAAAGAAACAGUUUAUUGUCCAGCAUCAGUGUGUCUGAUCUCAGCAUCAGUCUCUCUCUUCCUCUGGAGGUGGAAUAUCAGGAUAACAACACCUACAGCUGUGUGAUCAACAAUCCCAUCAGAAACCAGACCACACAUCUCAACAACACUGAUCUCUGUCAGCCAUGCUCAGAACGGGAUGAGCGUUCACGUCUCAACAUUUCAAUAGCUGUUACAGCACUGCUGCUGGUGUUCAUAGCUGUAGUUGCAGGUUUGAUGUACUGCCACAGAAAGCGUAAACAAUCGGAAAAAGAAGUUGAGGCUCAAGAGGAAGAGAUACUUUACGCUGAUACAACAUUCUGUGCAUAUCGGGUUGAGAGUACGGAUGUCGUUGCAGCAGAUCAAACAGAAUAUUCAACUGUUAAGACAUGAAAGACCCCUGGAUGAAAGAAGAAAGCCGUCGUGUUUACAACUGUGACAAUGAGCGUUUAUCAGGAUCAACGAAACACUGAAUUUUCAAAAUUUCACUUCUGCUCAAGCUGACUUCUGAAACCUGCCGUGACAGUACCGUGGGAUUUGCAUAAACCCAGAUGAUUAAUGCAGUAACUAUAUAUAACACCAAGAAGAUCUAUAACAAUGAUGAAAGGACAUAACGACAACAAUGUGACCUUAAAUGCCAUUCAGACAAAACAACUCUUUGUGAUUGUAAUGGAAACUGAUGGGUGUUGUCACAUAACAAUGUAGCAUUCAGAAAACCGCCAUGAAAGAAUGUGCCAUGAGAAGGUAGUUUUUGUAAUUCUAGAAGAUGUUGUUGUGAGAGCCAUCAGUUUGUGAGAUUCACAAUAAGACUCAGUACUAAUUCAUAUAUUUUAAUAAUAAUAGAUAAUUUUUGUCACCAUGUACACAGCAUAGUUUAGCACUUCAUUUUACAUAUUUGAUAUUUAAACUAAUUCAGGGGUGUCCAAUGCUGCUCCUGGAGGGCCACCGUCCUGCAAAGUUUAGCUCCAACCAGCUCCAACACAGUUGCCUGAAAAUUUUUAGUAAAUCUGAAAAUCUUUAUUAGCUGGACAGUGGCCCUUCGGGAACAGGUUUGUUUGGACACACCUGAACUAAUGCAGCCCCCUACAGUACACAGAGUGUAACUGUCCCAGAUUGACAGCUGUGUGUGCUGUUAUAUGAAUAUUGAUGUUAGAUCUUUUGUGAAAAGUAUCCACUGCAACAUCUUUUUUUUCCCAACUCUCACCAUCAGUGAUGAGCCACAUAAGGGACUAAUAACACAGAGAAACUAAAGUUUAUCUUUGAAAAAAAGGUCUUCCUAUUUUGUCCAAUGAGUGACAAUAAAAGCAAGAUUUAUGUUUAUUUAGUUUCUAACUCCUCUGAACAUAUUUGGCUUUAUAGUCAUGUAAAAGCAUCAUUUAAAAGCAAACAAGCUUUGUAACACGCACAAGAAUCAUUUCUCAAUCCCAUCACCUUCUUUCUCACUGAAAAAAUAAAAUACAUACAUACCAAAAACAUAUCAAAUUCACAAACAAUGUUAAGUAUUAAUUUUUAAAAGGAUUAAGGAUUUUAUAUCAUGUAAUAUUCAGUAUUUCAUUUUUAGAGUGGUCCAAUGACCGUGGAAAUAGGAAGUUAUAAGAAUCUGAAAUAUAUGACACUUUUUAGGACGUUCUUCUCAUGAGUAUAGAUAACCUGCACAAGUACAUAACAGCCAUCACAGUGGAUAAGCACAACAUUAAAAGGUGGAAACAAAAAAGACACAGAGAGAGAAACAAAUAUAUUUCCCAAAUGCAAAUGUAUGGUUGUGAUUUGUAACUUGUUUAAAAAAGCAACCACAUCUGGCCACUGAGGGGCGCAAUGCGCUAUUAUACUAUGACAAGCACAUCUGUGUCAGCUGACAUAACCAUAGAGGAAAUUAUGAAACUGAAAAAAAUAAAUAAAAAGGAAGCAAUUACAUCAUGCAUUUCUACAUUCAUCAUCAAAUACUGGCUACUGGAUUAGAGUCAGCAAUAUGGAUACAUUCAGAACUGUGGGUAUGAAGAUAUCAGGAAACCUGCAACAACAUUUCAACGUUUUAUACCAGCACCAGCAGUAAUCACUUUUUUUAAAAUACAAAUAACUUGGGCUGAGCCAGAAUUUUAUUUAUUUAUUUUUAUUUUUUUUGAUACAGGUAGCUGUUUUACCAUUUGCAAAAAUUCUCACCGUUUAUUGCUUUCAAUGUUUUGCAUGAGAAAUAUUUCCACCUUGCAGGAAUUAUAAACAAAAACAGACAGCAUGUAUAUUUUUUCUUAUGAUUCUGGAAUAAAUUUAAUGGGUUACUUCUUAAACUCUUAAAUUCAUAAACUAUUGAAUUAUAAGAUUAACUGAUUGCAGUUCAAAGAUUCAGAGUGCCAAAUUUGUGAAACAAGAAUAUAGUUCAAAUCUGGAAUACAGUCUAAAAACCAAUUGUAUUAUAAAUGGUGAAGACAAUGUUUUUCAGGCUGGUUCAUUAUUUAAAAUCUACCAUUUGGAAAGUUUGAGUUAGAACAGUUUUCAAAAGUGAAAUUAUAAACACAUUGAGGCUGUGAAAGUGACUAGUGAGAAGACUUUAAAUGUUUAGUGUAAUUAAUUGUAAUGUUCCUGAUAACCUCUCUGUAGUCCCAAUUUAGACGAUUGCUAGCAACCACCUCAAGACAAGUGAAAGCUUUAAGAAAUCAACUUGGAUAUUAAGGCAUUUAUGUCAUACACUAAAAAACA